This 332-nucleotide ribosomal RNA is filed under the name uncultured bacterium. RNAcentral's name for it is "bacterial SSU rRNA". It matches the Rfam family "Bacterial small subunit ribosomal RNA", at positions 568 to 898 of the family's 1533-position model. The record is from RNAcentral.
CGUGUAGGCGGCUGCGCAAGUCGGGUGUGAAAGCCCUUGGCUCAACUGAGGAAGUGCACUCGAAACUGCGCGGCUUGAGUCCCGGAGAGGAUGGUGGAAUUCUCGGUGUAGAGGUGAAAUUCGUAGAUAUCGAGAGGAACACCGGUGGCGAAGGCGGCCAUCUGGACGGUGACUGACGCUGAGACGCGAAAGCAUGGGGAGCAAACAGGAUUAGAUACCCUGGUAGUCCAUGCUGUAAACGAUGGGUGCUAGGUGUCGCGGGCAUUGACCCCUGCGGUGCCGAAGCAAACGCAUUAAGCACCCCGCCUGGGGAGUACGGCCGCAAGGCUAAA